Molecule: long non-coding RNA, 1660 nt
Organism: Carassius auratus (goldfish)
Lineage: Eukaryota; Metazoa; Chordata; Actinopteri; Cypriniformes; Cyprinidae
Exons: 2
Source: RefSeq, a predicted model, not a curated record
GACUGGAGUAAUGAUGCUGAAAAUUAAACUUUGCCAUAACCAUAAAUUAAUGACAGUUAUAUUAAAUUGUUCAAAUAUUUCAUGUUUUAAUUUGGAUCGUAUAAUGCUGCCUUGGUAAGAAUGAGAGACUUCUGUCAAAACUGUAAAGAAAAUGCAAACUUUCAAAUGGUAGUAUCACAAAAUUUCAAUUUAAUAUAUAAUCUAAUAUAAGUAUCUAUAUAAAUGAAUACUGACCUCAAAUAUACAGAAUAUUCUAAAAGGGGAGAAAAACGUGUAAUUGCAACCUGACUGCCUGUCAGUUUGAAUGUGAAUCAAACCAAAAAAAAUAUGAUUUUUUUUGUACAUCCCAUUCAAAUUAUAUUAGUGUAAUAUGCUCUUGAAAACUUACAACACUAAUCUGAUUUGAACAAGACUGAAUUUGGUUUUAGACACUACGGACAAAACACAUCAAGAAAAUAACAAAACGGCUCAGAGCUUGAACAAAUGAUUAAUCGCCUUGACAUUAACCUCUUGAACUCUGGCCACGCCCUAGGACCCACCGGUGGGUCCGCGGGGAGGUCAUAAUAUUAUUCUUUAAAAAUCUAUAAACUGUGAAGCACAAAACUAGUCAUAUAUGGUAUUUUUUGAAAGCUUAGAACCUCUGCUUUCUUGCAAGUCCCAUGGUAUUUGCAUUAAUUUUACAUAAAAGAAAAUAAUAAGGUAUAAAUUCGUUCUUCCACAACCACCCCCCCUUGAGAAAAUCAGAUGAAUAAUGAUCAUAUUUCAUAUUUAUAGCACACAAACUCACCAAACAUGGACAAGUCACACAUCAAAUGAAAGCUCUCACUCUCAGGAAUGUCACUGUGUACUUUAUUUCACCGAUCUUAUACAUUACAGUGACAUAACAAAUAAUAAUUUUCAAAAGAAUCACGAAAACUGAAAUUACUUAUGUGAACAAGCAAACGUAUGCGUCAUAUUUCUGCGCUGAUAACUACAUCUGUGCUCACAUACUAGCCUAAAAUCAUAUAUCAGCUUUUACAUUAGGUUGUUUUCUUCAAAAUGAGAGCAUUCUCGUGUGUCUGUGAGCAUGCAUGGCUAAACGGCACUAUAAUAUGUCUCAGAUGCGCAGAUCAAAACAUGCAAUACAGCGUUAACCAUGACCAGUAUUUGUAUCGACUCUCUUUGAUUCAUUUCGACUUGCAAUGACGUCAUCACGCAGUGCGUCCUAUGUCAUGAAAGCUGACAGCCUCCCCUCUCCAUAGACACAUCGAUCAAGCUUCUAGACCAUUCAGAGCCCGAGUUGUUCCUUUCCAAAGUUGAGGAGGUGGGACUAAAGAAAACAGUGCAAACGGGCGCAGAUGAUUAUUAGGAGUUGAUCGGAAGUUGGUUUGUGAUUUUGGAUAGCGUUUUAGCGAAUUAUUGCGUGCUUUUAUUACUGUUAGAGUUAUAUGUCUCUGAAAAAUGACUUCAAGAAAGUUUUUUGUUGGUGUGGAGGCGGCUUUGGAGGAGUUUGAUCGGAUGUCCGACACUGAAACUUGCAGCGAGGCUAGCUAGCUUUGACUCGGUCAGAGAAGCUGCUUACAAACUGGGAGAAGACCCUUAUUUUGAUUGUAGCAUCCAGUGGUGAAGAAUGGGAGCCAGCAAGUCGGGAUACUUGUUGUGUGUGUGUGUGUGUGUGUGU